GUUCACAUUGUACUGUUUUCUGUUUGAGCCAAUCCUAGUCACGCCCCUCAUUUCCAUUAUUCCUCGCACCUGUGUUGCUUCCUGAUAGUCUCCCUUCUUAAACCUCUCUCAGUCGCAACCACGCUGCCAGAUUAUCGAACGCUUUCAGCAAGUAGUUUUCCAGCACUUUUACCUCGCCCUCAUAGCCACGGCCACGCUUUGUUCCUCGGACCUGCCCCUUUUGCCUUGCCCUUGUCGGACUGUUACUAUCGCCCUUCUGGAUCUCGACCCACGCCUGUUUUAGUUACACCGCUCUCGCCCACUCCCACGGAUUCUGCCCUUAGCCCCGAUCGUGCAUGACCUCGGCCCGUCUGACUAAGGAUUCAGAUCUGGAUUUGGUUCUUCUGCUGCCUAACUAGUUUGUACGCUGCCCUGCAUCAGCGCUUCUCUCCCCAGGCACUUCCUGCCGAGCUCUGCGUCAGUGCAGCAUCUGCGCUCCUCCUGGUUCCUCAGCCGAUCACUUCAGUUACUGAUCGCCAAGCCAGUGCUGCAGCGGACGAUCCUGCGUGCCCGGUUUAAGCUGCCUUUUAAUAAAUAUCAGAGUUUUCUGCUCA
Molecule: long non-coding RNA, 593 nt
Organism: Xiphophorus couchianus (Monterrey platyfish)
Lineage: Eukaryota; Metazoa; Chordata; Actinopteri; Cyprinodontiformes; Poeciliidae
Exons: 2
Source: RefSeq, a predicted model, not a curated record